AACGCACCUUGCGCCCUUUGGUAUUCCGAAGGAGCAUGCCUGUUUGAGUGUCAUUAAAUCAUCAACCUGCCUUCGCUUUACUAGCGUUCGGAGUGGCUUGGAAUUGGAGGUUUCUUGUCGGCUCUCGCGAGUCGGCUCCUCUUGAAGACAUUAGUCGGACUCGGUCGCUCCGUCGCGGUACGCGGUGUGAUAACUUAUUCACCCAUUGGUAAACCCGCCUCUUGCGUCCGGCUGGCUUCUAACUCGCGCUUCGGCGCACCUUUGACAAUCUGACCUCAAAUCAGGUAGGACUACCCGCUGAACUUAA
RNAcentral lists this unclassified non-coding RNA (307 nucleotides) under uncultured fungus. RNAcentral's name for it is "partial contains 5.8S ribosomal RNA, internal transcribed spacer 2, and large subunit ribosomal RNA". The record is from RNAcentral. Lineage: Eukaryota; Fungi.